AGCUUGCCUAUUUGAAAAUUCUUCGGGAAUGGACAUAGAUACAAGCUAGCGGCGGAGUGGGGUGAGUAACGACGUGGGUAACCCUGCCCUUAAAGUCUGGGAUACCAUUUGGAAACAGAUGCUAAUACCGGAUAAAAAGCACUUUCGCAUGAAAGAAGUUUAAAAAAGGCGGCGUAAGCUGUCGCUAAAGGAUGGACCUGCGAUGCAUUAGCUAGUUGGUAAGGUAACGGCUUACCAAGGCGAUGAUGCAUAGCCGAGUUGAGAGACUGAUCGGCCACAUUGGGACUGAGACACGGCCCAAACUCCUACGGGAGGCAGCAGUAGGGAAUUUUCCACAAUGGACGCAAGUCUGAUGGAGCAACGCCGCGUGAGUGAAGAAGGUUUUCGGAUCGUAAAGCUCUGUUGUUGGUGAAGAAGGAUCGAGGUAGUAACUGGCCUUUAUUUGACGGUAAUCAACCAGAAAGUCACGGCUAACUACGUGCCAGCAGCCGCGGUAAAU
This 499-nucleotide ribosomal RNA is filed under the name uncultured Lactobacillus sp. Its description in RNAcentral is "bacterial SSU rRNA". It matches the Rfam family "Bacterial small subunit ribosomal RNA", at positions 56 to 525 of the family's 1533-position model. The record is from RNAcentral. Lineage: Bacteria; Bacillati; Bacillota; Bacilli; Lactobacillales; Lactobacillaceae.